GAUGAACGCUGGCGGUAUGCUUAACACAUGCAAGUCAAACGAUUUUAUAGUGACGGACGGGUGAGUAAUGUGUAAGAAUCUACAUUUAGGAGAGGGAUAACAAUUGGAAACGUUUGCUAAUACCUCGUAAUGCUAUUAAGUUAAAGAAGAUUUACGGAUCUUUGCCUAGAUAUGAGCUUGCAUCUGAUUAGCUAGUAGGUGAGGUAAAGGCUCACCUAGGCUUCGAUCAGUAGCUGGUCUGAGAGGACGACCAGCCACACUGGAACUGAGACACGGUCCAGACUCCUACGGGAGGCAGCAGUGGGGAAUAUUGCACAAUGGACGAAAGUCUGAUGCAGCAACGCCGCGUGGAGGAUGACACAUUUCGGUGCGUAAACUCCUUUUAUAUAGGAAGAUAAUGACGGUACUAUAUGAAUAAGCACCGGCUAAACUCCGUG
This 437-nucleotide ribosomal RNA is filed under the name uncultured bacterium. RNAcentral describes it as "bacterial SSU rRNA". It matches the Rfam family "Bacterial small subunit ribosomal RNA", at positions 28 to 507 of the family's 1533-position model. The record is from RNAcentral.